RNAcentral lists this ribosomal RNA (166 nucleotides) under Cusickiella quadricostata. RNAcentral describes it as "5.8S ribosomal RNA". The stretch from base 1 to 79 matches the Rfam family "5.8S ribosomal RNA", at positions 78 to 154 of the family's 154-position model. The record is from RNAcentral. Lineage: Eukaryota; Viridiplantae; Streptophyta; Magnoliopsida; Brassicales; Brassicaceae.
AAUCCCGUGAACCAUCGAGUCUUUGAACGCAAGUUGCGCCCCAAGCCUUCUGGCUGAGGGCACGUCUGCCUGGGUGUCACAAAUGGUGGUCCCCCUCAUCCUCAAGGAUUUCGGGACGGAAGCUGGUCUCCCGUGUGUUACCGCACGCGGUUGGCCAAAAUCCGAG